Molecule: small nucleolar RNA, 132 nt
Organism: Nyctereutes procyonoides (raccoon dog)
Lineage: Eukaryota; Metazoa; Chordata; Mammalia; Carnivora; Canidae
Source: RefSeq, a predicted model, not a curated record
GUUGAGGUAUAUCCUAAUGGGGCUUUUUUUUGUAGACCAACGUGGUUGGAAAUGCCUCAUUGAGUAUAUGUGUGGUUUGCUUUAUUCACAGAACUAUGUGUUAGAUCUGUGGGAAAGAACUGUAAGACAUCU